Molecule: long non-coding RNA, 595 nt
Filed under: Monodelphis domestica (gray short-tailed opossum)
Lineage: Eukaryota; Metazoa; Chordata; Mammalia; Didelphimorphia; Didelphidae
Description: lncRNA (ENSMODG00000030894.2)
Source: RNAcentral
CAUCAUAUUAAUCUUCCUUAUUACUUCUGGAGAGCCAGCCUUUAUUGGAAGAUAAAAUUUUAAGAAAAACAAAAGGAGGAAUAAGAAAUUCAGUAAAACUAAUGAAAACAUUGUUGAAAACUGAGGUUAUUUACAGUAUUUUAUAUUCAUGGACCACAUGUACCUACAAAAGAACCAGGCAUCAGACCUCUAAUAGGGCAGAUCUCAAAUACUUCAUCCCCUUUCAAGAUAUAAAGCAUCAUCAUCUUCAUCAUGAAUAUUCAGAUCUCUAUGAUGCCAGGAUUUAUGCUCAGGUGUCUGUAUUUAUACAGAAGUGGCAUGAAACAGUUGACUUUCAGGAAAUGGCCCAAGCAUUGACGCUUAUCAAAUUCAGGAAAGAGGGGAGUUUACAAAACAAAACUGACUCCGUCAAAAAUGUCCUUGGCUCAUGAGGAAAAAAAUGAUACCCAGUUGGUCAAAAAGUCACAUUUUUGUGUGGUUGUAAUUCUUAUGAAAAAAGCAGCAAUAAUCCUUUAAAAUAUGACUUUCAAAUAUCCUUUUGAGAAUAUUGAAAUCAAUUAAACAAUAAAUAUAUUCUCAUUUAUAAAAGAAAUCA